AAAUCUAACAAAAAUAUGGUAUUACCACAUUAUUUUGCUAGUUGAUUAAGUGGUUUUAUAGAAGCAGAAGG
RNAcentral lists this transfer RNA (71 nucleotides) under Arthonia susa. Its description in RNAcentral is "tRNA-Asn". Lineage: Eukaryota; Fungi; Ascomycota; Arthoniomycetes; Arthoniales; Arthoniaceae. The record is from RNAcentral.